RNAcentral lists this ribosomal RNA (460 nucleotides) under uncultured bacterium. RNAcentral describes it as "partial 16S ribosomal RNA". It matches the Rfam family "Bacterial small subunit ribosomal RNA", at positions 338 to 795 of the family's 1533-position model. The record is from RNAcentral.
CCUACGGGAGGCAGCAGUGAGGAAUAUUGGUCAAUGGGCGUAAGCCUGAACCAGCCAAGUCGCGUGAGGGAUGAAGGUUCUACGGAUUGUAAACCUCUUUUAUAAGGGAAUAAAGUGCGGCACGUGUGCCGUUUUGUAUGUACCUUAUGAAUAAGGAUCGGCUAACUCCGUGCCAGCAGCCGCGGUAAUACGGAGGAUCCGAGCGUUCUCCGGAUUUAUUGGGUUUAAAGGGUGCGUAGGCGGGCUUUUAAGUCAGCUGUGAAAGUCUGUGGCUCAACCAUAAAAUUGCCAUUGAAACUGGCAGGCUUGAGUAUGUUUGAGGCAGGCGGAAGGCGUGGUGUAGCGGUGAAAUGCUGAGAUAUCACGCAGAACCCCGAUUGCGAAGGCAGCCUGCCAAGCUAUGACUGACGCUGAUGCACGAAAGUGUGGGGAUCAAACAGGAUUAGAUACCCUUGUAGUC